This is a transfer RNA of 96 nucleotides. It matches the Rfam family "tRNA". Rfam says of the family: Transfer RNA (tRNA) molecules are approximately 80 nucleotides in length. Their secondary structure includes four short double-helical elements and three loops (D, anti-codon, and T loops).
GCUCCGCUAGUCUAGAUUGGUUAAAGCCAAGGACAAUCCGGUCAAGGAUGGCGGCCUUUCGAGCCGCAGACACGGGUUCAAAUCCCGUGCGGAGCA